This 441-nucleotide ribosomal RNA is filed under the name uncultured Alphaproteobacteria bacterium. Its description in RNAcentral is "bacterial SSU rRNA". It matches the Rfam family "Bacterial small subunit ribosomal RNA", at positions 338 to 796 of the family's 1533-position model. The record is from RNAcentral. Lineage: Bacteria; Pseudomonadati; Pseudomonadota; Alphaproteobacteria.
CCUACGGGAGGCAGCAGUGGGGAAUAUUGGACAAUGGGGGCAACCCUGAUCCAGCCAUGCCGCGUGAGUGAUGAAGGCCCUAGGGUUGUAAAGCUCUUUUGUGCGGGAAGAUAAUGACGGUACCGCAAGAAUAAGCCCCGGCUAACUUCGUGCCAGCAGCCGCGGUAAUACGAAGGGGGCUAGCGUUGCUCGGAAUCACUGGGCGUAAAGGGUGCGUAGGCGGGUUUUUAAGUCAGGGGUGAAAUCCUGGAGCUCAACUCCAGAACUGCCCUUGAUACUGAAGAUCUUGAGUCCGGGAGAGGUGGGUGGAGCUGCGAGUGUAGAGGUGAAAUUCGUAGAUAUUCGCAAGAACACCAGUGGCGAAGGCGGCUCACUGGCCCGGUACUGACGCUGAGGCACGAAAGCGUGGGGAGCAAACAGGAUUAGAUACCCCGGUAGUCC